This 1203-nucleotide long non-coding RNA is filed under the name Homo sapiens (human). RNAcentral's name for it is "HSALNT0315337". Lineage: Eukaryota; Metazoa; Chordata; Mammalia; Primates; Hominidae. The record is from RNAcentral.
GAGAAGAGGCACCGAAGCAUCAACUAUCUUGGAACUCUGCCAACUAGAACCUCGGCCUCAACUGACACAUCCAAACUAAUGGCUGAGUGUCUUUUUUAGCAGCAUCAAGCAACUCCUUUACAAUACCACCCAAAGUAAUUUUCCUGAAGAAAUUCUCCUUGUAUCUAACUUCAUUCAGGUUCUUGGGGCUUGCCAAAUAGCCAGCAAUGUGACCUUAACUUGGUCAGUUGACAUCUCUGGUCUUAAGUUUCCUAAUCUGCAACAUUUGAAGGUUUAUUUUCUAAACGUUUUUACUUUAGUACUAAUUUCUGUGAGACAAUCAAGCUAUUCAAUGUUAGGUUGAGGUAUGUAAAUCAUUCCUGCCAGCCUUUGUACGAGGUGGUUCUGGUAUCACUGUGGCCCAGCAUGUGUCUGUCUAUCAGUGUUGGCAGGCAAGGUCACUAAGGCUGGUUUGAAGUUUCUGUGCCUUGAAAUUUCUUAUGUCAUGGAGUCACCUGACAUUCAGAUCAAAGGCCGACUCCGCUCUAUGUUUGAUGAUCCUUGCAGCAAGCACAGAUCAAGGUUCCUGUGACCUGCAGCAAUUGGAUUACAAGAUUAGAUCAAUUUGCAAAGUACACCAAGAUCACAGCAGUUGCCAUCCAUUAGCCGCUGAGACAAGUGAUGUCACCUGCCAAUACUGUAGAUUGAAUAACCAGGGAAGGCUGAGGAAUGCAAGUGAAUGUAAAAACCACCUGGAGGGAAGCAUUGCAGCAAGAAAGGAACAGCAAGUGCAGAGGCCUGAGGCAGAACCAGCAGGGAAAAUGCUUUGAGGUUCCAUGAAAACCUGGAAGAAAUAUUCCUGAGGACCAUCCAACACCAUUUCCCUGAGAGACAAGCUGUAAGUGCUGUUCUAGUUACAGAUCCGAGUCCCUGGUACAUUGAUAUCAAGUAAGGGUGCAUGCAGCUCAGAAGGCAGUUUCCAUUACACUGGACAAGAGUGUGGCUGCCUGAGUCCUAGAACUGCAGUGGCUUCUGCUGACAAUGUGAGGAGUAGCUGCCCUGUCCAGAGUGUGGCCCCGCACGCUGCCCCCUCCCCUGGAGGGACUGAAGAGAACAGCUUGGAGCAUGCCCUUCCCUUUCCCUUAUCUCGCCCACUAUGCUAAUGCUGCUCAUCCCUCAAGAUCCGAGUUAUUCCUCCUCAAUUCAAUACACACCAAUCAACUG